UCUGAAGGAGAACCACAAGACCUGAGAAAAGAUCCAGAAUAUUCAGGACGUGUGUAUGUAAACACUGGGUGGUCUGACUGUAGCCUGACAGUGUGGAAUGUGAGAUUGAGUGACUCUGGAGUUUCUAACUUUAGAUAUAAAACACAGAGCAGUGACUGGAUAUCAGCUUCAUCUGGACUUCAACUGACUGUUACAGGUAACACACACACACAGAGUUUAUUGUGUAAUAUGUAGUAUGCAUUUACAGUGAUUUGGUCCAUAAUUGUGUGCAGACUUGCAGGUUAAGGUGGAUCCUAACAUUGUAGGACAGAGAGAAGUGAAAGUGACCUGUAGCUCCACCUGCAGACACAACACACUCCUUUUCUACUGGCACAGGAAUGGCCUUUAUAUAAAAUACAGAAAUGACGCAUCCAUUGUACUUGAUUCCUCCAGUCGAUCUGAUGAUGGCAGCUACUCCUGUAAGGUGUAUGGGAGUGAACACCGCUCUCCUCCAGUGUGUGUACUGGGUAGAGAGUGUUGGGGUGUGACUUACACUGCUGAACAUGUGUGUGCUCUGAAAAACACAUCAGUUGUUCUUUCCUGCUCUUAUAAAUAUCCUGCAGGUCUCACAGUGAUAAAAUCAGUGUGGUUCAUUAAAGCUCAGGUUAAUGUUGAGCCUGAGGAUGUGAGAGAGGAUGAGGAGUAUCAGGGCCGAGUGCAGUACACACAGAGCUCCCAGAAUGACUGUAGUCUGAGAAUCACUAAACUGAGAGAGAGAGAGACGCUCAAACAUACAGGUUCAGAUUCCACACUGAUGAUCCUAAAGGAAAAGGCACCGGAGAACCUGGAGUCUCUCUGUCUGUCACAGAUCUGAUGGUUAAAGUAUCAGACUCGGGUAGCGGACAAAUCGAUCUGAGCUGCAUCACCACCUGCAUUCUGUCUAACAAACCCACUUACAUCUGGUACAAGAACGGACAGCGUGUGUCUGAGUGUAAAUCUGCCUCCUGCUCUGUAGCUGCAGUCGGUGGUGCCGUCAGUUACAGUUGUGCUGUUGAAGGCCAUGACAGUCUCCUCUCUCCUCCAGUGUUGUGUUCCAAAACCUGGAGAUGACACAUACACAGGGCUGAACCUCAUGACUAUGUCCCCGGAUUAUGACACUCUGCAAUGCCCACACUCCAGUCUAGUAGGU
Tachysurus fulvidraco (yellow catfish) is the source of this 1168-nucleotide long non-coding RNA. RefSeq lists it as uncharacterized. NCBI's taxonomy places the organism in Eukaryota, Metazoa, Chordata, Actinopteri, Siluriformes, Bagridae. The record is from RefSeq and is a predicted model, not a curated record. The transcript has 5 exons.